Molecule: long non-coding RNA, 3016 nt
Organism: Patella vulgata (common limpet)
Lineage: Eukaryota; Metazoa; Mollusca; Gastropoda; Patellidae
Exons: 9
Source: RefSeq, a predicted model, not a curated record
AGUUUCAACAGUUGUAUUAACGACACUUGCAUUAUCAAGCCUUGCAUUAACAAGCCAUGCGUUAGCGAACUAUGACCAUAUUUGGGUUGAUGACGUUGAUCAUUAAUCCGGAAAACGCCGAGUUUGGUCCUACAAUGAUGUCUCCCGUCUCAAUAAAAAUAUCUCUUCUUGGGUGGAGUUUUUCAAGGGGAACUACUCCCAUUAUUUCCGUUCUUCAAACAGCAAAUGAAACUAGUUUAUAGGCAAAUUCAAUAAAAAUGUCAGAUAAUGAUCUGAAGAAAACUGCUGAGCUUCUUAGGCAGGCAGCCAGAGAACUGGAAGAAAAAUCUCGAACUACACAGACUCCUACUACUAUAUUACCUGGACCGUCAACACCAAAUGUCAGCGAAAUGCGCCGUUUGUUUUGUCCCUAUUCUAGUAUUUCGAGGACAAGUAAUAAAAGAGUUGCUGGUACUGGUAGACAGAACACAUGGACUCAUCGUUUUUUUUGUGUGUCAAGUUGCACACAGAACACUGUCCCUGAUCGGUUCGCAAGAAAAGUCACACAGGAUGCUGGACUGGGAGAAAAAAGAAUAACUCUUUUUAAGAAUGAUGAUGCAAAGUAUUUUUCAAAUGAAAUAUAUUCACAUUAUCCAAAAUUGAUAGAUGGAGGAGGGUAUGAUCUAAAUCGUGCCAUAGGAAGAACCAUAAUGGAGUUUAUUGACCCCCCUCCAUCAGGGUACACAAGUGCUUUUCUGGCACAGUCAUACAUUGGACAAGCCAUCAUAUAUAUCAAACCCUUACAGAGAGAUCUGGAUAUUACUAUUAGUGGGACUCCAAAAGGCAUGCAGUCAGAUAUGAUAACACAGGAGUGCAUGGAUUGCGGUGAAAAAGUGCCUUUAAAUAAUUUGAGAAAACAUAUACAAGAAUUUCAUGAGCUUCAGGAAGAUAAUUUACCUAAAAUAAAGAGACAGAAGUCAGAGCAGUUGUCCUCUGUUACUCCUAUUUGUAAAUAUGCUUGUGUAAGUGAGCCUGAAAUCUUGCCCAAUUUGCGGUCUAGAAUUUGAUGAGGAAUUAGUUGAAAUACAUGCUGCAUCUUGCGGCGAAGAUGACAAGAAAACAGACGAAGGAAGGACACAGACUGGUAAUUUAAAAUAUGAUUUGCAUCAACUGUCCGAGAAAAUUUUUGGUCAAAAUGUAAAGGAGAGAUUCCAUGUCUCAGUAGUUAGAAAAAUGUUUUUGCAAACAGCCAUGGAAAAUCUGGAAGAUUUUGAAUUUGAUCAACUGUUAAAUGUAAUAUUCAUAGGGGAAGAUGGGGUGGAUGCAGGCGGCUUAACAAGGGAGUUUUUCUCUCUUAUCUUUAAACAUACUCCCAUUUUUGAAAAUAGUGGUUUUGCCAUCAAUUCAACACUACUACAGAAUAAAACAUACAAGACUAUAGGCAAAGUUGUUGCCUUUUCUAUCUUAAUGGGAAAUCAAGGACCAAGAUGCCUUCUACCACAGUUUACUAAAUUCAUCCUUCAGAAUGCACAACCUGCAGUUGGUGAAAUUUCAGAUGAAAUGUUAACUGGAGAUGUUCUCCAAGCUCUUAAAGAGAUUGAUUCUUUAGAAGCUCUAAAUGUAUCAGAGGUUUUUGAGAAAAAUGCUGAUAUAUUGGAAUCUGCAGGAUAUAAAAAGAUGUUGACAUUAGAAAACAAAAAAGAAGCCAUGUUAGCGAUUCGAUGCCAUUAUGGAUUUUAUCGUUUUUUGCCACCAUUACUGCAGUUCAUAGAAGGUGGAAAAAUCAGUACCCAGUGGUUGGAUAUGGAAACAGAUCUCGAAGAUGAUGUUCAACUGAAUACUGGACAUUUUCUUCUGGCAACAACUGGUAGCCCUGCCAUAUCUCCAAAUAUAGGAGAUGGGCUACUACUAUUUGACCAUGAAAAUUUAAACUGCACUACAGUAAAUACAUGUGCGCCAUCUAUUACUAUUAACCAAACGAAAUAUAUGAAAGAAUACGAUUUCCUAGAAAAUGCUUUUAUUAACAUAAUUGUAUGUGCUUAUGGUUUUGGUUUGAAUUGAAAAUGUAUGUAGCAUGAACUGGGCCUCUGUUGGUGAAAUACCCAAUAAAAACCUAUUAAUUGAAAAAAAGCAGUGUUGAUUUCCUAAUUCAUUUCAUGAUAAUUAGAAAUGAAAUUUACGGUUGCAAGAAACAAGUCCAUUCCCUGAUUUUCUGAAUCGAAUAAAGGAUUUAUUUGGCACAUCAAUUCUUCCAUCUUUUGAUCAGUUAAAGAUAUAGGAAAAUGACCAAUAACAACUCUUUCUGGUUCAUCAUCAUAUGCCAUCAAACCAUUUUGUAUUGUUCCGUAACUUUGAAAGUCUGCCUAUAAAAAAAUAUUUAAAAUCUAAUGAACGUCUGUUUGGGAUUGAAUUUAUAGGUUUAUUUAAGAUAUAAGUUUAUUUCAUAUUGUAAACAAGAAUUUUAACGAAACUUGCUGUAGUUGUUUAUACCAGCAUAAGGAAGAAGCCUAUCGAAAUUCAAUGUUUUCCAGAGUUAUUGACCUUGAUUCACGAAACCUUGUAAACGUGAUAGAGACCAGAGUUGCUGUAAUUGUUUAUAAAAAUGGCGAAAAUUAGGUCAAGUCACAAAAUCAUCUGAUUCUGACGAAGCAAGCAAUUAAUUAUAUAUUAUUGAGGUCACUGAUUAUGAAUAUGCUAGUUUAAAAGUUGUAUCUUAUCUUUGAAAAGGUUGAAAGUUUCAUUUUACUAGUUAUUGUGCAUGCCCAUAAAAACUUCUUCUUUACACGAUAGAGAUCACAGUUCUCAACGAAAAGUUUUGAAACUUUCUGGGAUAUAAUAACAGUUGUUGGGGUGUAUAAGGUUGGAGACUUCUAUCUUAUCAUUAACAGAUUAAAUCAUUUGUUUGCUAUGGAAAUUAAAAUAUCCCAAAAUCUCACCCUCCAAUUUUUGAAUAUUUUUAGGCAUAAUCUUAACCACUGUCAAAAAAUGAAAGAUUAUAUUAAUCUGGAUUUCUUGAAUAAACAUAUCAAUGAAAAUA